UACGAAGGGGGCGAGCGUUGUUCGGAUUUACUGGGCGUAAAGGGCGCGUAGGCGGGUCGGUAAGUCAGGGGUGAAAUCCCACGGCCCAACCGUGGAAGUGCCUCUGAUACUGCCGGCCUCGAGGGGGAUAGGGGCGUGCGGAACUCAGGGUGGAGCGGUGAAAUGCGUAGAUAUCCUGAGGAACACCGGUGGCGAAAGCGGCGCGCUGGAUCCCUUCUGACGCUGAGGCGCGAAAGCCAGGGGAGCAAACGGG
This 253-nucleotide ribosomal RNA is filed under the name uncultured bacterium. Its description in RNAcentral is "partial 16S ribosomal RNA". It matches the Rfam family "Bacterial small subunit ribosomal RNA", at positions 524 to 776 of the family's 1533-position model. The record is from RNAcentral.